This 607-nucleotide long non-coding RNA is filed under the name Struthio camelus australis. Its description in RNAcentral is "lncRNA (ENSSCUG00000005378.1)". Lineage: Eukaryota; Metazoa; Chordata; Aves; Struthioniformes; Struthionidae. The record is from RNAcentral.
CUGGCAGUUUCCACCCAGCUAUGUGCAGACAUUUAACCUAAUGAACAGAAAUUGCUCCAUUGGGACUACUCCUCUAUUCGAAAUUGUUUGAAGGGAAUUGUCCCAUCACCUUGCUGGUAGGAGACCUUCUACUAUCAUCAUACCUGCAUCAUUGGCUGAGACUUGUCUGAAAUGCCUUCACUGUUUCUGCAGAGGAAACCUGGAAGAAGGAGAUACAGAUCUUAGCUCUUUUACCUUCUGCUUCAGUUUGUGCCUGACCAUCUGUGAGUAAGGUACUCACGGGUCUCCAUGCUUAAUUAACCCUUUCACCCUUCUUCUGUGUCUUUCCAUUAGCUCCAUCUUUGCUAUGUUGCAAUGAAAGGUACCUCUCUGGGGCAUGGAAAGAUAAAUAUCUGAAUAUCUGCCUAUCAAUGCUCAAACCACCAAAGUCAUUCUAGGCUUGAGCAUUUUUCCAGUUUAUGCAUAACAUUAGGGAAUGGUCUUCAUUUUAAGACAAAGCUGGCAAAGGAAGGGCAUGAUCUCAAGAGCUUUUUAAAUACCACUGUUGACUGAAAGCUAUUAGGUCAUGCUACUGAGUGGCUACCACCACCAUUAACAAGAAAUGGAG